Oncorhynchus keta (chum salmon) is the source of this 773-nucleotide long non-coding RNA. RefSeq lists it as uncharacterized. Lineage: Eukaryota; Metazoa; Chordata; Actinopteri; Salmoniformes; Salmonidae. The record is from RefSeq and is a predicted model, not a curated record. The transcript has 4 exons.
CAGUAGACAUGUUAGAAACAUUUUUUUUGCACAAGUCCACACAAGUAAAGUAAAUAAACAAAAAAUAACCUGGUGACAUUGUUAGUCCCCAAGAGGUCAAAAGGUUAGUCCCCAAGAGGUCAAAAGGUUAGUCCCCAAGAGGUCAAAAGGUUAGUCCCCAAGAGGUCAAAAGGUUAGUCCCCAUGAGGUCAAUAGGUUAGUCCCCAUGAGGUCAAUAGGUUAGUCCCCAUGAGGUCAAAAGGUUAGUCCCCAUGAGGUCAAAAGGUUAGUCCCCAUGAGGUCAAAAGGUUAGUCCCCAUGAGGUCAAAAGGUUAGUCCCCAUGAGGUCAAAAGGUUAGUCCCCAUGAGGUCAAAAGGUUAGUCCCCAUGAGGUCAAAAGGUUAGUCCCCAUGAGGUCAAAAGGUUAGUCCCCAUGAGGUCAAAAGGUUAGUCCCCAUGAGGUCAAAAGGUUAGUCCCCAUGAGGUCAAAAGGUUAGUCCCCAUGAGGUCAAAAGGUUAGUCCCCAUGAGGUCAAAAGGUUAGUCCCCAUGAGGUCAAAAGGUUAGUCCCCAUGAGGUCAAAAGGUUAGUCCCCAUGAGGUCAAAAGGUUAGUCCCCAUGAGGUCAAAAGGUUAGUCCCCAUGAGGUCAAAAGGUUAUUUCCAAGGAGGGGUUAAGGUUAGAAUUAGCCCUUUGGUUUAGGGUACGAGUACAGGUCAGUGGUAAAAUAGGAUUUUAAAUGUGACUGAAGUGUGUGUCCCAACAAGGCUGUACAAGGCGCUGUUGAUGUGCGAGU